Molecule: long non-coding RNA, 3000 nt
Organism: Scophthalmus maximus (turbot)
Lineage: Eukaryota; Metazoa; Chordata; Actinopteri; Pleuronectiformes; Scophthalmidae
Source: Ensembl
UGGCACAAAUGUUAGUGAGCUGGAAAAUUCCAUUUCCAGCUUUUGUAGUCCACAGCUGGAAAGUGAAUUUUGAAUUUUUCCAACCUUUUGUGCAUUUUACGUGUCAGAAGAAAAGUGUUCAGGCUGAAUGAACAGAUCUGAAUGUGUGGAGCUGAUGCACGUGAAUAUAAUAUAAUAUUAUAUUUAUAUUAUAUUAUGUCAACAUAUAUGACUCAAACAAUCCAGGUCCGUUGUUCUGAGUCCAGCUCCACGUUUUCCUCCUCACAGACAAACUUCAGGUCACGUGACCUCGAACCACGAAACAAGGUAAAUCUCAGCCGAAGCGUCGUGCACCUGAUGAGGAGGAGGAGGAAGAGGAGGAGGAAGGAAGAAGGAGGAGGAGGAGGAAGAGGAGGAGGAGGAGGAGGAGGAGGAGGAGGAGGAGGAGGAGGAGGAGGAGGAAGAAGAGGAGGAGGAGGAGGAGGAGGAGGAGGAGGAGGAGGAGGAGGAGGAAGAGGAGGAGGAGGAAGAGGAGGAGGAGGAGGAGGAGGAGGAGGAGGAGGAGGAGGAGGAGGAGGAGGAGGAGGAGGAGGAGGAGGAGGAGGAGGAGGAGGAGGAGGAAGGAGGAGGAGGAGGAAGAGGAGGAGGAGUUUACUUCACCUUCCUCCAUCACACCGUCGCUCUCUCAGGUGUUUUCGCUCCGUUUCCCCGCAGGGUCCCGAGGAGCUGAAAGUGGGCGGAGUCACGAGCAGACCCUGGUGCGAGGAUCGUGGGUGGAGACGGCGAGACUCGGGCGGCAGGAGGUAAAUCACACACACUGACACUGAACACACACGCAGACGCUCACAAGUGUGUGUGUGUGUGUGUGUGUGCUUGACCUCUGACCUUUCCGCUGAGUGUUAACAUGGGGAGUUUAUCGCUCUGGUUUUAAAAGUAUUGAUUUUGAGAAACAGAAAAAUUAUCGUUAAAAAAACAACCAACCAACCAACCACACACAUUUAGAUGAUGAAGAUGGUUUAUCGUUAAUAUUUACUGUUAAAGAAGCUUGUUGGUAUGUUCACACACCAGCUGUGUGUGUGUGUGUGUGUGUGUGUGUGUGUGUGUGUGUGUGUGUGUGUGUGUGUGUGUGUGUGUGUGUGUGUGUGUGUGUGUGUGUGUGUGUGUGUGUGUGUGUGUGUGUGUGUCAGCGUGCUGGGUGGUAACGGCCAUGACACACUCAGUGGCCCCCAUUCAUUUAUUUCUUAAUAAGGGUCUGGUUAACCUGCGGCAGCGACAGCAGGGGGGGGUGGGGGCGGGGUUAGCGGGAGGGGGGGUCAUUAAUCCCACACAAAUUGGAGGCUCAGUGGCGGCGGCAGCGGUGUAGUACUUAACCACACACAUCAGGUUCAGGCUCAUCAUGUGACGUCCGGUGCCUCGUCCUGACGCCUCGUCAACAACGGUUACCGACGGUUAACGACAUGGUGGAACGGAAACAUUUGAAUAUUCAUAUAUUUUAAUAAAAUUAAAAAAAACUGGACAAAUGCUCGUUUUGGAAACUUGAUCAGUUUUGUUUCGAGUUGAAAUAAAAAGCGGAACCCCUUUUGCUUUUAUUUAGAAAAACCAACGUCGUCAUGAUGUAAAGAGACGUGUGUGUGUGUGUGUGUGUGUGUGUGUGUGUGUGUGUCGUUGUGUUUAAAAUGCAGAGCAGCAGCUCUGGUGGAGACACUUCAGCACGUUCCUCAUCAUCCACCGAUACUUGAGCUGCUCAGAGACGGACCACACACACACACACACACACACACACACACACACACACACACACACUUCACACGCAGCCUAUGGGACGUCCCGAUGGUCUCUGACACUGAAUCUCGCUCUGAUUGUUGUCAAAUGUUCCUCAUUGUUUAAAACAAUAUGAUUCAUAUAAUAAUAUGAUUAUGAAUCUGCAGCUUCAUGAACGUGACUCGUCUUCUGUCCGUCUCUCACUGAUUCAAUUCACCGGUGGUCGUUCGUGGUCCUGGUGACUUCAGGUCGAAUCGUUACGUUUCACCUCAGCAGCUCGUGUGGAUUCAUCUGCGCUGAGGGAAUAUCGUCCCUCACAAAAAGAUUGUUUGUUUGGUCAGAAACUUACAGAGAGCAGCUGUUUGAGGAAACUGAAACUGUAAAUGUGUGAUUUUAAUAUUCUCCAGUGGGAACCAACGAGCUCAGAGCUCAGCGGUGUGGGGGGGGGGGACGUCAGACAGCGACGGACACACUGGUGAACAAUUUCAUCUUCGUCUUCAGCAUUUAAAAUAUGAAAAGAUCCCACUGGUGUGUGUGUGUGUGUGUGUGUGUGUGUGUGUGUGUGUGUGUGUGUGUGUGUGUGUGUGUGUGUGUGUGUGUGUGUGUGUGUGUGUGUGUGUGUGUGUGUGUGUGUGUGUGUGUGUGUGUGUGUGUGUGUGCAGCUCGGUGAUGCGCUUCUGUGGCUGCGACGUCUGAAACACAGAAAAACAACUCGUCACAUUUCAGCACACACAAGUUUCAUCAUACUGUUAGUUAUUAUUAUUAUUAUUAUUAUUCAUUAUAAUAAUGAUAAUUAUUAACAACAGAUGAUGAACGAACAUUUCGCUCUCUGUGUGUUGGUCAGUGAAUGAACUCUGACGUGUCCUUAAUCUUUUAAUUAUUAAUAAUCUGUAACAUAUUAUCAUAAUCUAAGUGUUUCACUACAGUGAUGUCACUUUACUGAUGCUCUUUGAUUGGCUGCUCUUUAACCAAUCACAAGACAGCAAGGCCUUGAACUUUCACCUCUGGUCUUCAUUAAUAUUUACAUUUAUACUUGUCAUGUGAUUUACUGUAACUGUAUGAAGCUUCAACGGAGAGAAUAAAAAAACAUAAUUCAUCAUAAUUGAUUAAAAAUCAUCAGGAUGAACGGAUGAAUAAUAUUAAUAUUAAUGAAAGCGUUUCAAUCUUUUUGAAUAAAUUAUUUAGAAAACGUUAAGACGCCAAACUGGAAAUCUGGGAAGGAAAACUUUUUAUUAAAUAUAAAUAAUUAUGUUUUUGAAU